Molecule: long non-coding RNA, 186 nt
Organism: Spea bombifrons (plains spadefoot toad)
Lineage: Eukaryota; Metazoa; Chordata; Amphibia; Anura; Pelobatidae
Exons: 2
Source: RefSeq, a predicted model, not a curated record
CUCCGGGUAACUGGUUUUUGCCAGGAACAAAUAAACAUUUCUCUCACAGCCCUUGUCAAUGCUACAGAAGUAUCAUUUGCCAAAUGGAUAUAGUCAUGUGAAUGCCCAUGGCAGCAGCUACAUCAACAAAGAAAAGUGUACCUUGCAAUUUUGUAUUUCAUGUAAUUAAAAUCUGCAGAGCUUAAA